Molecule: long non-coding RNA, 2983 nt
Organism: Monopterus albus (swamp eel)
Lineage: Eukaryota; Metazoa; Chordata; Actinopteri; Synbranchiformes; Synbranchidae
Exons: 2
Source: RefSeq, a predicted model, not a curated record
CCUCGGCUUGAUCCCAGAUGAGAUCCUGUGGAGGCGCAAAGAAGCAUUCAGUGAUGGUAUGAUGUCUGUGAAGAAGUCCUGGUACACGUGCCUGCAGGAGCAUGUAGAAGCUAUGGUGAAUGACGACCAGAUGGAGAACACUCACAAGACGUUCCCUCACAACCCUCCACACACCAAAGAGGCAUACUACUACAGACAAGUGUUUGAGAAGCACUACCCAGGCCAAGCAGAGUGGCUCCCUCAUUACUGGAUGCCCCGCUGGAUCGACGCCACCGACCCAUCAGUGGGUGUGUGAGCAGUUCAGGACUGGUAUUAAAAUGCAAGCAAAUCUGUUUAGUCACAUGCAGAUGAAAUAGAAGACCAAAGACCUUGGGCCACAAUAGUUACAUCCAGUUAACCCUGGCAAAUAUAAAAGCUAGACUGAUGUAAUAUUAUGUUUUAUUCAUUGAAUGUACAAUGCAAAUAAAUAUUACUUAAACACAUGAUAUUCAGUUUUUUGUUUUUUUUUUACCUUUAUUGCUCUCAAACAUACUUUCCAACCUGCCAUGCAAAUACCAGACAUUGUUAAGAUGCCCUGAUCAAGGACCGGUGCUAUUGAUUUGUGAUAUUAACUAUAAACACCUUUGUGGUAGCCAAAAGAAAUGGCUAAAGAUUUUUUUUAGCCAUCUUCUAAAGCAUGCCAUUUAUCGUGCCUUAGUUUCCAAGCUUCCUGGCAGCCACUGGUUUCAGUUAAUGUCAUUACUUUACAAAAUGAAAAUUAACCUGCAGAGACUUGAAACUUGCUUGAGACAGAUAAUCUGCCACAACAAAUACAUCGUCAUCUUUAGGGUAUAGUUAGGUUUUAGAUAUAUUAUAGUGCUAAAUUCGACUGAGCAGCUUACAGGGCCGUGUGACUGUGAGGUCUGCUGUCAGAAGCUACCUGACCCAAUUAAAACAUGACUGUGAGCUGAAGUAGUCUGAGAUGUGAUGCACUGCCAUGACAGUCUGUGUGCUGUUACAACAGCCUUUUGGCUGUGUCAAGAAGUGUUUGUAAUUUUUUUAUUUUCAAAGGGAAAAACUGAUUAUCAGCUUCAGUGUCAUUUCCUUUAAUCCCAGACAGGUUUGGGUGCCGUUUAUUUUCUUGUUGAGGGCUACAGUAUUUGUUCUGAAAUUGAACUGAGUUCAGCCGCAUUUCCUGCUGCUACUACUUGGAUAUUGUAGCCUCAUAAAGUACUGUCGUCAUGAUAAAUGGUUGCAAUCAGCCUAUUGCUUAACCACACAGUGACCAGUUAGAUGUCUAUUCUCCUAACCGACCUCACUUGUUCAUCUUUUACCACUAAUGGAUUAUCUAGAGCUGCUAAUAAUUAAAAAGGCUGAUGCUCCAACUUGUUGACUAGCAGAUUAUGCAAUGUGUGUGAGGGACAUCUUGACAGUUGUUAUGGGUAGAGGUGAGUCAUGUGUGAUCCUUUCACACUGAUAAAUGCCAUCUCUGCUGGUUCUUUUCACUUGGAAAUAAAUCUUGGAUUGGGACUGGUUAUGCAAACUGACAUUUGUGUGUGUGACAAUGUGGUGAUACAUGAUUUGCCAUCUAUCUAGAUGAUUUCAGUUACAUUAAUAUGCAGAAGAACUUUGAUCUUUUAAUUGAAUUUCCAGUGAACAUAUAUCUGAUAAAAAGUUACAGUAACAUAUCAUUUUACAAGUCUGUAAAUUCCUUUUUUAAGAUCAUUUCCUAAGAUAUGGUCAUAAGAUGACCCAUAUCAUUUGGAACAAAUUACAGUAUAGGUAAAAUUAGAGAGUGAUCGGUUGGUACUCGUAGUUAUUUCUAAAUGCUAAGCUAGCACAAACCUGAGGCCUUUAAUCGGAGGACAGGAGGUGAGCUACACAUGCUAAGGAUGAAAUCUGUUGACAAGCAACUAUACAACUCAGCAAAGAUGAAGAAUAACAUUUCAAAUAAUAAAUGAAUAGUAAAUAUUAACAGCGGUUUAAAUUGAGCAAUUUUUUUUCAUAUAAACUCAUCUGGAAGCCAAUAACAAAUCUCACUCACUAAAAGUGUCUAUUUUCCUGUAAUUAAUACCAAACUGCAUGGUUCUUUAGGGGAACUUAGUAUCAUUACCAAAGUUACAUACAAUCAAAUAUUUUUUAAAUAGUACUUUGAGAAAACUUCAGGCAGUGGAAGAAAUAUUACCUGACAACAUACUGCGGUACAGCACCACUCACUGUAGUCUGAAACUCGAACACUACAAAAUCAAACGCUAGAAGCUUCACAAAGAGCUUUCAGCAGGGUGCUUGUGUUGGAUGGCACUUUUCAGUUCUAUACAUUGGUUCACUCUCUGUCUAGCAUAGCCACUGUCUGCCUCUCACCUUCUAGUAACUGUCUGUGUUUCACACUUAUUGCAGCUAAAAUAAAUCCAUCUCUUGGCACUUAAAUUUGGUUUCCUCAUGCCUCGGUCCACCACCAGGCGGCACCCUUGCAUCACCUGCACUAAUGGUUUUGUCACCUACUGGACGUAUCACAAGGAAUCUGCAAAUUGCAAGCUGAGAUUAAACCAGUAAAGAAAAUCAUUUUAAUAUUUGUCAAAGCACGGUAACACACAGGUGUCUUGUCAUGUCAAAUUAUGUGACCAGAUGGAGAAUAUGGCAGCUCUUCUAAAGUCACUUAAAUGUCCAAAUGAGAACAUGUCAGUGUGUUGUAUUUGUAGCACAAUCAGUUAUGAAGCACUACACAGUGAUUUUAGCAGUGCAAUUUUCAGCAUACCCUGGGGUACAGCCUUGCUUUGAUGGUCCACAACAACAUUUAGUCUUUGUGCCAUGGCAGAUGGUAGAAAACGCUCACAGAAACCACUAACACUGACAAUAACACAAUUCCCCCUCUUCUCACCCCACAAUGCCUUCACUUGGGCAAAUGAAUCUGGCACAGUACAGUGCUGCUACAAUGUGGAAACAAACAUUUUAUUUGACUAACAGCUAUACACAGUUUUGAGAAAACAAACCAAUGUGGGGUUCC